AAUGAACGCUGGCGGCGUGCAUAACACAUGCAAGUCGAACGAGAAACCCCGGCUUGCCGGGGGAGUAAAGUGGCGCACGGGUGAGUAACGCGUGGGUAACCUGCCCUUGAAUCUGGAAUAACUCGCCGAAAGGCGGACUAAUACCGGAUGCCGUCCCGGGGACUGAUGUUCUCGGGAUGAAAGGUGACCUCUUCACGAAAGUUGCCGUUCAGGGAGGGGCCCGCGUACCAUUAGCUAGUUGGUAGGGUAAUGGCCUACCAAGGCGACGAUGGUUAGCUGGUCUGAGAGGAUGAUCAGCCACACUGGAACUGAAAUACGGUCCAGACACCUACGGGUGGCUG
Molecule: ribosomal RNA, 341 nt
Filed under: uncultured Pseudomonadota bacterium
Lineage: Bacteria; Pseudomonadati; Pseudomonadota
Description: bacterial SSU rRNA
Rfam family: Bacterial small subunit ribosomal RNA
Source: RNAcentral